GACGAACGCUGGCGGCGUGCUUAACACAUGCAAGUCGAACGGAAAGGCCCUGCUUUUGUGGGGUGCUCGAGUGGCGAACGGGUGAGUAACACGUGAGUAACCUGCCCUUGACUUUGGGAUAACUUCAGGAAACUGGGGCUAAUACCGGAUAGGAGCUCCUGCUGCAUGGUGGGGGUUGGAAAGUUUCGGCGGUUGGGGAUGGACUCGCGGCUUAUCAGCUUGUUGGUGGGGUAGUGGCUUACCAAGGCUUUGACGGGUAGCCGGCCUGAGAGGGUGACCGGCCACAUUGGGACUGAGAUACGGCCCAGACUCCUACGGGAGGCAGCAGUGGGGAAUAUUGCACAAUGGGCGGAAGCCUGAUGCAGCAACGCCGCGUGCGGGAUGACGGCCUUCGGGUUGUAAACCGCUUUCGCCUGCGACGAAGCGUGAGUGACGGUAAUGGGUAAAGAAGCGCCGGCUAACUACGUG
RNAcentral lists this ribosomal RNA (468 nucleotides) under uncultured bacterium. RNAcentral's name for it is "partial 16S ribosomal RNA". It matches the Rfam family "Bacterial small subunit ribosomal RNA", at positions 28 to 507 of the family's 1533-position model. The record is from RNAcentral.